GACGAACGCUGGCGGCGUGCUUAACACAUGCAAGUCGAACGAAGUGGCGAACGGGCGAGUAAUACGUGGGUAACCUGCCCUCCUUUUUGGGAUAAGCCUUGGAAACGGGGUCUAAUACCGUAUAAAGGGGGAUGGGCUCGUGGCCUAUCAGCGUGUUGGUGGGGUGAUGGGCUACCAAGGCGGUGACGGGUAGCCGGCCUGAGAGGGCGAACGGACACAGUGGGACUGAGAGACGGCCCAGAAUAGUACGGGAGGGGGCAGUGGGGGAUAUUGCACAAUGGGCGAAAGAGUGAUGGAGCGGCGCCGCGUGGGGGAUGAAGGCUUGCGGGUUGUAAACCUCUUUGGCUAUCGAGCGGGUAGGUGGAGAAGAAGCGCCGGCUAACUACGUGCCAGCAGCCGCGGUAAUAC
This 408-nucleotide ribosomal RNA is filed under the name uncultured bacterium. RNAcentral describes it as "partial 16S ribosomal RNA". It matches the Rfam family "Bacterial small subunit ribosomal RNA", at positions 28 to 526 of the family's 1533-position model. The record is from RNAcentral.